Molecule: ribosomal RNA, 465 nt
Filed under: Vreelandella stevensii
Lineage: Bacteria; Pseudomonadati; Pseudomonadota; Gammaproteobacteria; Oceanospirillales; Halomonadaceae
Description: partial 16S ribosomal RNA
Rfam family: Bacterial small subunit ribosomal RNA
Source: RNAcentral
CCUACGGGUGGCAGCAGUGGGGAAUAUUGGACAAUGGGCGAAAGCCUGAUCCAGCCAUGCCGCGUGUGUGAAGAAGGCCUUCGGGUUGUAAAGCACUUUCAGUGGGGAAGAAAGCCUUGGGGCUAAUACCCUCGAGGAAGGACAUCACCCACAGAAGAAGCACCGGCUAACUCCGUGCCAGCAGCCGCGGUAAUACGGAGGGUGCGAGCGUUAAUAGGAAUUACUGGGCGUAAAGCGCGCGUAGGCGGUCUGAUAAGCCGGUUGUGAAAGCCCCGGGCUCAACCUGGGAACGGCAUCCGGAACUGUCAGGCUAGAGUGCAGGAGAGGAAGGUAGAAUUCCCGGUGUAGCGGUGAAAUGCGUAGAGAUCGGGAGGAAUACCAGUGGCGAAGGCGGCCUUCUGGACUGACACUGACGCUGAGGUGCGAAAGCGUGGGUAGCAAACAGGAUUAGAUACCCCAGUAGUC